Molecule: transfer RNA, 114 nt
Filed under: Colletotrichum liriopes
Lineage: Eukaryota; Fungi; Ascomycota; Sordariomycetes; Glomerellales; Glomerellaceae
Also listed under: 1 other name
Rfam family: tRNA
About the family: Transfer RNA (tRNA) molecules are approximately 80 nucleotides in length. Their secondary structure includes four short double-helical elements and three loops (D, anti-codon, and T loops). Further hydrogen bonds mediate the characteristic L-shaped molecular structure. tRNAs have two regions of fundamental functional importance: the anti-codon, which is responsible for specific mRNA codon recognition, and the 3' end, to which the tRNAs corresponding amino acid is attached (by aminoacyl-tRNA synthetases). tRNAs cope with the degeneracy of the genetic code in two manners: having more than one tRNA (with a specific anti-codon) for a particular amino acid; and 'wobble' base-pairing, i.e. permitting non-standard base-pairing at the 3rd anti-codon position.
Source: Rfam by way of RNAcentral
UCCCCGAUGGCACAAUUGGCUAGCGCGUCAGACUGUUACAGUUCGAAUUGGUAUUACAUAAGACCAUUGACGACCGUGAUCUGGAGGUUGGUGGUUCGAGCCCACCUCGGGGAG